This 69-nucleotide transfer RNA is filed under the name Leptopelis vermiculatus (vermiculated tree frog). RNAcentral's name for it is "tRNA-Ala". It matches the Rfam family "tRNA". From Rfam's summary of the family: Transfer RNA (tRNA) molecules are approximately 80 nucleotides in length. The record is from RNAcentral. Lineage: Eukaryota; Metazoa; Chordata; Amphibia; Anura; Arthroleptidae.
AAGGUCCUAUCUUAAUGAAAGAGUCUGAGUUGCAUUUAGAAUAUGUGAGUUUGAACCUCACGGAUCUUA